Molecule: ribosomal RNA, 254 nt
Filed under: uncultured bacterium
Lineage: Bacteria
Description: partial 16S ribosomal RNA
Rfam family: Bacterial small subunit ribosomal RNA
Source: RNAcentral
UACGGGGGGGGGCAAGCGUUGUUCGGAAUUACUGGGCGUAAAGGGCUCGUAGGCGGCCAACUAAGUCGGACGUGAAAUCCCCAGGCUCAACCUGGGAACUGCGUCCGAUACUGGAUGGCUUGAAUCCGGGAGAGGGAUGCAGAAUUCCAGGUGUAGCGGUGAAAUGCGUAGAUAUCUGGAGGAAUACCGGUGGCGAAGGCGGGUCUCUGGGCCGAUACUGACGCUGAGGAGCGAAAGCGUGGGGAGCGAACAGG